This 468-nucleotide ribosomal RNA is filed under the name uncultured bacterium. RNAcentral's name for it is "partial 16S ribosomal RNA". It matches the Rfam family "Bacterial small subunit ribosomal RNA", at positions 28 to 507 of the family's 1533-position model. The record is from RNAcentral.
GACGAACGCUGGCGGCGUGCUUAACACAUGCAAGUCGAACGGAAAGGCCCUGCUUUUGUGGGGUGCUCGAGUGGCGAACGGGUGAGUAACACGUGAGUAACCUGCCCUUGUCUUUGGGAUAACUUCAGGAAACUGGGGCUCAUACCGGAUAGGAGCUCCUGCUGCAUGGUGGGGGUUGGAGAGUUUCGGCGGUUGGGGAUGGACUCGCGGCUUAUCAGCUUGUUGGUGGGGUAGUGGCUUACCAAGGCUUUGACGGGUAGCCGGCCUGAGAGGGUGACCGGGCACAUGGGGACUGAGGUAGGGCCCAGACGCCAACGGGAGGCAGCAGUGGGAAAUAUUGCACAAUGGGCGGAAGCCUGAGACAGAAACGCCGGGUGCGGGAUGACGGCCUUCGGGGGGUAAACCGCUGUCGCCUGUGACGAAGCGGGAGUGACGGUAAUGGGUAAAGAAGCACCGGCUAACUACGUG